GAGAGACUCCAACCAACAGGUCACCUAUUUUGGCCUUCUUGGUGGGUUGACCGUUAAAGAAACCGUAUGGAGAGUGCUUGGCAAGAUGGUGCCAAACUCACUGGCAAAGACAAUCAAUUGGAGGGGUGUGAAUGGAAUAACUGGCUUUGAGUCCCUCGCUUAUGUUGUUUUGAAAUCCGUCCGUCGCAUCACUGUAACUGCACAGAGCGCUUCAUGAAGCCAUGGCUCCAGCUGGCAUCUGACCGAGAAGAGAACGGCCAAGCGACCCCUGAACCACAGUCUUAGUAGGCUGCAACCUCCGCAUUUUAAAAGUGAAGCCAUGAUGCCGGAGUGACCGGUCGCGACCACGGUGUGGUCUUGUUUGGCAGUUGUUCGAGUUUCAAUUUAAUUGACCUUUUUAACAGUGUGCUUUAAUUCAUACAAAUUCACUGUAACAUUU
Molecule: long non-coding RNA, 439 nt
Organism: Cyclopterus lumpus (lumpfish)
Lineage: Eukaryota; Metazoa; Chordata; Actinopteri; Perciformes; Cyclopteridae
Exons: 4
Source: RefSeq, a predicted model, not a curated record